AGUAAUGUUCUAGUUAAAGAUGCUGAAAAGGUUAAAAGUGGAUGUUAAAUAAUUCACUUCAGCAACUUGAAUGUGGUUAUGGUAAGAGUUCAUGUUACCCGAGUCAUGUUUCUACGUCAAAAAGCCCAUUGUACUUUGUUUGAUCUCAUCAAGAAGAUGACAAAGACCUUCUCUCUGCGUGGAAAUGACGUAAUCCUCGAGAAACCACCUGUGAUGGACUUCAUUUGAGCUUUCCCAGAUGGAGGAGGAGGAAUUUCCUCCUCGUCAUCCUGCACUUUGCCCGAAGAGAAGCUGUGAUCAGAGGCCUCAUUUUCUACCUUGGUGAGCAGACGGAGUUGAUCAAGGACUAGCAGGUUUUUGAGGACGACCAUGCUGCAGCCAUCCUAGAAGCUCUUCCUACAUUUGUCCUCAACAUCUUUGUGGUCACCAAAGCCAGGGAUAGAGGUCUCCAAAAGCAAGCUGGAACAGCCAUAGAGGGAAUCGAGGUGCUCUUUGGUAUUCCUGGUGUGGCACGUCCUUGUGUGUACCUGAUGGGCCUUAUCUAUGCCCUGGAGCUGAAGAAACUGAAAUAUAUAUUUGAGGUUUUUCAGCAGAUCUUUGUGGAGCUUGAGCAUAAAAACAAAAAAUGUCCUCCAAGGUAAAUAAUCUCAAGGUCACCUUGCAUGGCUAAAAGCCAUAUAGCUGACGUUGAAGGCAGAGGGUUUGAUUGGGCUCCCUCUUAGAAGUUUUACAGUUGUUGUGUUUUUUUUUUAACUGCACUCAAGUUCUCUGAGGACCUCUCCUGGAUGACCAACACCACAUCGCUGGCCAAGAAAGCUCAGUCUCGCCUCUACUUCCUUCGCAGACUGAGAAAAGCACCUGAGAGUCCCACCUCCUAUCAUGUGCUCCUUCUACUGGGGCACCAUCGGGAGCAUUCCCACCAGCUGCAUCACUGUGUGAGGCUGCACUGCGUCCUGUCGAAAGACUCUGCAACGAAUAGUGAAUGCAGCCAGCAAGAUCAUCGGUGUCUCUCUGCCCUCCCUUGUGGACAUCUUCCACACCCGCCUCACUAGCAGAGCCACCAGCAUUGCAGCAGAUGGUACACAGCCGUCAAACCUCCACUUCAGCCUACUGCCUUCAGGCAGAAUGUACCGGAGCCUCCAGGCUCGUUCCACAAGACUUUCUAACAGCCUCGUCCAUCAGGCUGUCAGGAUGCUGAACUCUGUCCAUUAUCUCCCUCCUCUCCCACCUACUUCUGAACUCUAAAAAUCUACAGCUCCCCCCACACUUCCUUCAUUGCACACAAGACACUUUAUACUCUCUGCAGAACUCUGCACACAUGGACCUGUUUACAAACACCUAUUCAAACGUCACACCUACAGACUAUUUACAUCUGACACGGUUUGCACUUUUACACUUUACAGUCUUAUAGCACGACUGUCAUACUGCUGCUGUUCGUCCUGCAUCUUACAAAGGCCUUUAUACCCAGAACUACUGAACCUUUACAUUUAUCUGCAUGCAUAUUUACACCUUUGGAAGUGUAUUUGUAUUUUUUACCAGAAUUCACUGUUUACAUUACUCAGAUUCAUUCAGAUGUUUACAAUAUAUUUUCACUCUGUUUAUUUUUAUCUAUUUAUUACAAGUACACUGCUGUUACCUUCACACACACAGUCUGUUCUAUGUUGCACUGACUGCACUGACCAUGUAAACACUUGAUAAGAGAGAAGAGAAAGGGUAUUUCCAUUCCUCUGUAUGUCUGCACAUAUGGUGGUGUUGACAA
Long non-coding RNA from Hemibagrus wyckioides, 1759 nucleotides. RefSeq lists it as uncharacterized. The transcript has 3 exons. NCBI's taxonomy places the organism in Eukaryota, Metazoa, Chordata, Actinopteri, Siluriformes, Bagridae. The record is from RefSeq and is a predicted model, not a curated record.